Molecule: unclassified non-coding RNA, 2707 nt
Filed under: Rhopalosiphum maidis (corn leaf aphid)
Lineage: Eukaryota; Metazoa; Arthropoda; Insecta; Hemiptera; Aphididae
Description: nuclear RNA export factor 1-like, transcript variant X1
Source: RNAcentral
AUGGUUAAAAAUUUCAUCGUCGCGCAGGCUGCAAUCGUGCUCGUUAGCAACCAAUCAUAUCUAAAUUCUUGUUUAGACUCAUAGAUUAACGAAUUAAUAAAAUAAUUAUUACUUUUUAUUCUAUGAAGACUUGAACAGACGUCUUCUAUAUCAUUGUUUAUAGUAUUUGAUAGUGCUUUUUCUGUUUACCUACUAGCGUACACUCUACUCUUUCUCAGUCUUUCACUUUCGAGCUUUGGCAUUUGUUGUCAUAUUCGGGUCUGAAGUUUUGACGACUUACUAAACGAGAUGGCUGGUAGAUCGCGAGGACGUAACAAUAACGGCAGGUUUCACAACAUCAAUUCACGUAAUGAACGGAAUAAUGAACAUGAUGAUCGAACUUCAAGACCUAGCACAAGAGGAGGUGGUGGCUACUUAGAUCGUCAUGGUUAUAAUAAAAAAGUGACAUUCAAAGCAAACAACCGUGGAGGUAAUAAUUUUCGUAAAAGUUGGGAGGGUAAAACUGAUCUAGUUCGUGAUCAAUUGGAUAGUGAAUAUUCUAAUCGAAAUGGACCACCUAGAAAUAAUUCUGGUCGGCGGUCUUUUCCUGAAAGAAAUCAUGGCCGCGGUGGUCAUGGUAACUUCAGAAACUUAUCAUGGUCUUUAAAAGAAAGUAGUACUGGAUGGUACUCAGUAUUUGUGCCAAAUGUUGAAGAUAGUGAUGAAGUGUUAAAAAUAAUACAAACUUAUAUUACACCUGUUGUAUUUUAUCCAUAUAAUAAACAAUAUUUUGAUAAUGCAUUAAGAUUUCUUGUUGAUGAUUAUAAGGUUGCUAAAGCAUUGCACAACACUAGCUAUAAGAUAACACAAAGAGAUGAUCGAAAAUUAGUUAUAAAGGUAUUAUUAUAUUCACCUCCACGUGGUCCUAUAUCAUUCACACCAGUAUCCAAUGAAGUCAGAGAAAAAAUGAUAGAAGCUAUGGCAACCCGAUACAAUCCUAGUACCAAGAGUUUGGAUUUGUCACGUUUUUAUGCUUGUUCAUUAUUUACCGAUAAUCAACUGUUUGUACCAUUAAAUCGACCAGCAGUUCUUUUGGCAGCAUUAAAUAUAGUUGCUCAACAUACCAAACAUGAUUUGUAUGGUUUGAGUCUUGAAAAUAAUCACAUUUACUUAGGUGAAGGUCUUAUAUGGAUACGUAGAUUGUUUCCUGAACUUAAAGUGUUGGAUUUGGCUGGGAACAAAUUUUCUGAUUUAAAAGAACUGAGAUGUCUCUCUGGUUAUACUAUUGAAGUGCUGAACUUGUCAAGAAAUCCAGUGUGUGAUACAGAGGACAAAGAGCGUUACAAACGGGAUGUACAACAAUUUUUUCCUAUGCUAACUAAGUUGGAUAAUUCAGAACUGCCAUCUCGGUACAGUGCGAUUGGAUCCAAAUUUAAAAUGCCAAUUAAUUUGGGUAAUUGUUACCCAAUACCAGAAGGCCAUAAUCCCGAACUACCAAAUCCGGUGAUGUCUUUAGUUGAAUCUUUUCUCGCUCAAUAUUAUGAACGGUAUGAUAAUCAAGUAUCCAGACAAAUGGUUUCAGAAGCUUACCAUGAAAACGCUACUUUUACAUUAUCUAGUGGUUUUCUAUUUAAAAAUGUUAAAGGAAGUUUAUCACAAUACCUACAUGAAGGUAGAAAUUUUUUAAAGUCUGACAGAAAUAAGCAAGGAAGAAGUCGGUUUUUACAUAAAGGCAAAGAAAACAUAAUAAAUUUUCUUGACAAGUUACCUAAAUCCAAGCAUGAUCUUGGAUCAUUCAUAGUUGAUGUUCCUUUGGCAACUGCUGCAAUGGUUCAGAUUGUACUAAAUGGUGUGUUUGCUGAAGACUUUAAAGAAACCAACUAUAGACAUGUAUACCGAUCAUUCUGCAGAACAUUCUGUAUAGUGCCUGUAGGAAGUGGUUGGAGUAUAAUAAGUGAUAUGCUUUUUAUAACAAUAGUUACUGAUGAGUUAUUAUUAGAAACUUCAAAACGGUUUCAUAUUUUCAAACCAAAACCAGUGUCAUCAAAAAGAAAUAAUUCUAAUGGCAACAGUAACCAAAAUGUAACAAUGUUUAUGGAGGAUACUGAUGAAAUGGCUGGCAUGGAAUCAUCAUCAUCCAGUCAACAAUCCACACCCAAUUACCCACCACCAACUUAUCAGCAAUCCACAUUUUCAUCUUAUCAGUCUUCACAAAUGACUGCUCCACAGCAGCCAUCUCCUUAUCAAGGGAGUACAUCUACUCCACAGAUCCAACAAAUGGCACCUGCUGCUACUGUUAAUUUCCAACCAGACUCACAACGGCAGCCAACUGCCUCAUUUAAUAUGUUUAACUCAAUAUCACCUUCAACAGCAGCAUUUCCUACAACUUCAACACCUGCCUCCUUGCCAGUAAAUCAAUUGUCUACUGAAGCGCCUGUAAAUUUGAUCAGCGAUGUUAAUGCAAAUCCUGAUAAGAUGUCUCUGGUUAAGAGUUUUUCAAAUGAGUCUGGAAUGAAUAACGAGUGGGCUAAAAAGUGUUUAGAAGAAAAUGGAUGGGAUUAUGCUAAAGCUGCUGCAUGUUUUUCAGAACUGAAAGCCAAUAUUCCACCUGCGGCUUUUAUACAUUAAUGAGAAUAGUCUGAUAUUAAUGAUUCAUUAAAUUGUUUUGGUUUAUUUUUCCAUAUUGUCAACAAUAUAAAUUUAAAAAAAAAAAAUAUACUUGGUCUAU